CUAAGAUGUUAAGUUUGGUGUUUUUCGAGUAGGUUCCCUUUCCACUUCAGUUUAUUUGAUGAAUGAAAGACUUUGGGCAAGUUAUUCCUGAUGUCUCAAUUUCCUUAUUGAACAUAGGACCUACCUGGAGUGAAACCAUAAGAUUUCUAUCUCCAAAGUUUUGGAAACGUAUUGACAUUUUCACAGAAUUAUUUAAAAAGUUACCAGUUCUGCUGACAAGACUAACUCCAGAGGGUAAGCCAAAGUUGUCCGGAAGGAAACACUUUUCUAAUGGCUUCAGGAAGAGCAUAUACCCAUUUUGAAAGAGAACCUAAACUGACAGCUAAGCCUGAUGUCCUGAUUUCUUCAGAUCUACACAGUACUCUUAGUAUGUAACCUAUCAUUUUGCCUCUAAAGUAAAAUGGCAUCUUCUACUACCCCCCAAACUGUCUUAUACCUGGAAUCUUCUGUUCUCUACACAAAGGAGGAGUUCAAGAAAUAUCUGCAGCCUGAAUGAACUAAGACAAUGAGUGACUGAUUGUUUCCAAUUAAUUCUUAACCUUGAAGGCUGGGACCGCUUCUACCCUACAAGGCAAGGCAGUGUUAGUCAUAAAUAUGUUUUCCCCAGGAAUGAAACACUGCAAAGAGAGAGAAGAAAGUAGAACAUGGCCAGAAGAAGAAUUGAAAGUUCCACAGGCAACUUCCUAAAUGAUGACAGAGACCUAGGACUACAAAGCAUGGCGACGUACUGGAAAGAAGAAAGGUCACGAACUCCUGAGGAAGUUGGCAAAGAAAUGCUGAAAGAGUUGACUAUAUCUCUUCCAAAUCCUAGAUGGAAAAACUCAAAGCACCAAGAUAUUUAAUAAGUUUUUCAGGAUCACGGAAUGAAGAGAACUGAGGUGUCAAAUUGGGUGGCCUAUAGUCUCCCUAAGUCUUUUCUGAGGGCUGGCUCUAGGUUUUUGGAAUCGUUAGGGAGAGCCUGGACCACACCUGCAUGUGCCGAUACCCCCCAGCCCUGCAGCUCUGUGAGAGCUUUUAAUAAUCAUGGGCUCUUCCAGAAGGUGACUGCAGUCAAAGCUGAUCCUCAAUCCAAGGCUGUGAGAGGUGCUCCCAGAGAAGUCUGCCCAGCACCCCCUCCAUCUCCACUGUCAGUCACAACUGCAGUCAAACCAGUCGCAAACAACAGGAAAGGCGAACAGCUCAAGAACAUCCCACCCCAACCUUGUACUCUUACUUAACUUCUAAGGCAAGCUGAUCUGCUUGAAGCCCUCCUUCUUAAAGCUCCAUCUCCCGAAAUAAGAGUCAGAGAAGGGGAGAGAAUUAUUAAAACACCUUUUGAGGCUACUCCACCAUCUGUUUCAUCCUUAAAGAACAGAAAAGCUCAACCUUAAGAAGUUAAGGCAAAAAGCAAAC
Lutra lutra (Eurasian river otter) is the source of this 1392-nucleotide long non-coding RNA. RefSeq lists it as uncharacterized. Lineage: Eukaryota; Metazoa; Chordata; Mammalia; Carnivora; Mustelidae. The record is from RefSeq and is a predicted model, not a curated record. The transcript is spliced from 6 exons.